AGAGUUUGAUCCUGGCUCAGAUUGAACGCUGGCGGCAUGCCUAACACAUGCAAGUCGAACGCCUGUAGCAAUACAGGAGUGGCGCACGGGUGAGUAACGCGUGGGAACCUGCCCUGGAGUGGGGGAUAACCCGGCGAAAGCCGGGCUAAUACCGCAUACGACCUGAGGGUGAAAGAUUUAUCGCUCUUGGAGGGGCCCGC
This 200-nucleotide ribosomal RNA is filed under the name uncultured bacterium. RNAcentral's name for it is "partial 16S ribosomal RNA". It matches the Rfam family "Bacterial small subunit ribosomal RNA", at positions 8 to 234 of the family's 1533-position model. The record is from RNAcentral.